AUACGGAGGAUGCGAGCGUUAUCCGGAUUUAUUGGGUUUAAAGGGUGCGUAGGCGGUUUGCUAAGCGGGAGGUGGAAUGCCGGCGCUCAACGUCGGAAGUGCCUCCCGAACUGGGGGACUGGAAUGACUCUGCCGUGGGAGGAAUGGGUAGUGUAGCGGUGAAAUGCUUAGAGAUUACACAGAACACCGAUUGCGAAGGCAUCUCACGAAGGGUUGAUUGACGCUGAGGCACGAAAGCGUGGGGAUCAAACAGGAUUAGAUACCCUGGUAGUCCACGCAGUAAACGAUGAUGGCUAACCGCUGGUUUAUUCGGAUCAGUGGCCAAGCGAAAGCGAUAAGCCAUCCACCUGGGGAGUACGACCGCAAGGUUGAAACUCAAAUGAAUUGACGGGG
This 393-nucleotide ribosomal RNA is filed under the name uncultured bacterium. Its description in RNAcentral is "partial 16S ribosomal RNA". It matches the Rfam family "Bacterial small subunit ribosomal RNA", at positions 523 to 918 of the family's 1533-position model. The record is from RNAcentral.